GUGCUCGCUUUGGCAGCACAUAUACUAAAAUUGGAACAAUACAGAGAAGUUUAGCAUGGCCACUGCUCAAGGAUGACACACAAAUUCGUGAAGCGUUCCAUAUUUUU
Molecule: small nuclear RNA, 107 nt
Filed under: Mus spretus (western wild mouse)
Lineage: Eukaryota; Metazoa; Chordata; Mammalia; Rodentia; Muridae
Source: RNAcentral